AUUGAACGCUGGCGGCAGGCCUAACACAUGCAAGUCGAGCGGAUGAGUGGAGCUUGCUCCAUGAUUCAGCGGCGGACGGGUGAGUAAUGCCUAGGAAUCUGCCUAUUAGUGGGGGACAACGUUUCGAAAGGAACGCUAAUACCGCAUACGUCCUACGGGAGAAAGCAGGGGACCUUCGGGCCUUGCGCUAAUAGAUGAGCCUAGGUCGGAUUAGCUAGUUGGUGAGGUAGUGGCUCACGAAGGCGACGAUCCGUAACUGGUCUGAGAGGAUGAUCAGUCACACUGGAACUGAGACACGGUCCAGACUCCUACGGGAGGCAGCAGUGGGGAAUAUUGGACAAUGGGCGAAAGCCUGAUCCAGCCAUGCCGCGUGUGUGAAGAAGGUCUUCGGAUUGUAAAGCACUUUAAGUUGGGAGGAAGGGUUGUACGUUAAUACCGUGCAACUUUGACGUUACCGACAGAAUAAGCACCGGCUAACUCUGUGCCAGCCGCCGCCGUAA
Molecule: ribosomal RNA, 500 nt
Filed under: uncultured bacterium
Lineage: Bacteria
Description: partial 16S ribosomal RNA
Rfam family: Bacterial small subunit ribosomal RNA
Source: RNAcentral